GCCUACGGGGCGCAGCAGUGAGGAAUAUUGGUCAAUGGGCGGGAGCCUGAACCAGCCAAGUCGCGUGAGGGAAGACGGUCCUAUGGAUUGUAAACCUCUUUAGGCGGGGAGCAAUGCCGGGCACGUGUGCCCGGAGGGAGAGUACCCGCAGAAUAAGCAUCGGCUAACUCCGUGCCAGCAGCCGCGGUAAUACGGAGGAUGCGAGCGUUAUCCGGAUUUAUUGGGUUUAAAGGGUGCGUAGGCGGAUUUUUAAGUCAGCGGUAAAAUGUCGGUGCUCAACACCGGCCUGCCGUUGAAACUGGUCU
Molecule: ribosomal RNA, 305 nt
Filed under: uncultured bacterium
Lineage: Bacteria
Description: bacterial SSU rRNA
Rfam family: Bacterial small subunit ribosomal RNA
Source: RNAcentral